This 300-nucleotide ribosomal RNA is filed under the name Peribacillus sp. RNAcentral describes it as "bacterial SSU rRNA". It matches the Rfam family "Bacterial small subunit ribosomal RNA", at positions 21 to 311 of the family's 1533-position model. Lineage: Bacteria; Bacillati; Bacillota; Bacilli; Caryophanales; Bacillaceae. The record is from RNAcentral.
GGCUCAGGACGAACGCUGGCGGCGUGCCUAAUACAUGCAAGUCGAGCGAAUCGAUGGGAGCUUGCUCCCUGAGAUUAGCGGCGGACGGGUGAGUAACACGUGGGCAACCUGCCUAUAAGACUGGGAUAACUUCGGGAAACCGGAGCUAAUACCGGAUACGUUCUUUUCUCGCAUGAGAGAAGAUGGAAAGACGGUUUACGCUGUCACUUAUAGAUGGGCCCGCGGCGCAUUAGCUAGUUGGUGAGGUAAUGGCUCACCAAGGCGACGAUGCGUAGCCGACCUGAGAGGGUGAUCGGCCAC